AACGAACGCUGGCGGCAGGCUUAACACAUGCAAGUCGAACGAGCUGGGAACUUCGGUUCCCGAUGCUAGUGGCGCACGGGUGAGUAACACGUGGGAACGUACCCUUUAGUACGGAAUAACUCAGGGAAACUUGAGCUAAUACCGUAUGACUCCUUCGGGAGAAAGAUUUAUCGCUAAAGGAACGGCCCGCGUCUGAUUAGGUAGUUGGUGAGGUAACGGCUCACCAAGCCGACGAUCAGUAGCUGGUCUGAGAGGAUGAUCAGCCACACUGGGACUGAGACACGGCCCAGACUCCUACGGGAGGCAGCAGUGGGGAAUAUUGGACAAUGGGGGCAACCCUGAUCCAGCCAUGCCGCGUGAGUGAAGAAGGCCU
RNAcentral lists this ribosomal RNA (373 nucleotides) under uncultured bacterium. RNAcentral describes it as "bacterial SSU rRNA". It matches the Rfam family "Bacterial small subunit ribosomal RNA", at positions 29 to 417 of the family's 1533-position model. The record is from RNAcentral.